This 262-nucleotide ribosomal RNA is filed under the name uncultured bacterium. RNAcentral's name for it is "partial 16S ribosomal RNA". It matches the Rfam family "Bacterial small subunit ribosomal RNA", at positions 92 to 354 of the family's 1533-position model. The record is from RNAcentral.
UUAGUGGCGGACGGGUGAGUAACGCGUGGAAAACCUGCCGUAUACUGGGGGAUAACACUUAGAAAUAGGUGCUAAUACCGCAUAAGCGCACAGCUUCGCAUGAAGCGGUGUGAAAAACUCUGGUGGUAUACGAUGGUUCCGCGUCUGAUUAGCUAGUUGGUGGGGUAAUGGCCUACCAAGGCAACGAUCAGUAACCGGCCUGAGAGGGUGAACGGCCACAUUGGGACUGAGACACGGCCCAAACUCCUACGGAAGGCAGCAG